UGAACGCUAGCGACAGGCCUAACACAUGCAAGUCGAGGGCAGCACAAGGAGCAAUCUGAGGUGGCGACCGGCGCACGGGUGAGUAACACGUAUGCAACCUGCCUGUAAGCGGGGAAUAACCCGUUGAAAGACGGACUAAUACCGCAUAAUACUAAAUUACUGCAUGGUAAUUUAUUUAAACAUUUAUGGCUUACAGAUGGGCAUGCGCAUGAUUAGCUAGUUGGAGAGGUAACGGCUCCCCAAGGCAACGAUCAUUAGGGGUUCUGAGAGGAAGGUCCCCCCACACUGGUACUGAGACACGGACCAGACUCCUACGGGAGGCAGCAGUGGGGAAUAUUGGUCAAUGGACGAGAGUCUGAACCAGCCAAGUCGCGUGCAGGAAGAAUGUUCCCUAUGGAUUGUAAACUGCUUUUGCAGGGGAAUAAAGUGCAUCACGUGUGAUGUUUUGUAUGUACUCUGCGAAUAAGGAUCGGCUAACUCCGUGCCAGCCGCCGC
RNAcentral lists this ribosomal RNA (495 nucleotides) under uncultured bacterium. RNAcentral's name for it is "bacterial SSU rRNA". It matches the Rfam family "Bacterial small subunit ribosomal RNA", at positions 30 to 518 of the family's 1533-position model. The record is from RNAcentral.